Molecule: small nucleolar RNA, 87 nt
Filed under: Babjeviella inositovora NRRL Y-12698
Lineage: Eukaryota; Fungi; Ascomycota; Pichiomycetes; Serinales
Source: RNAcentral
UUACUAUGAUGAUAAAAAAUUUUCAGUUCUGCUUCUGAACCAAAAAUCAAGUGAAGAUAAUCAAAAUUUACCAAAACUCUCUGACAU